Molecule: ribosomal RNA, 394 nt
Filed under: uncultured bacterium
Lineage: Bacteria
Description: bacterial SSU rRNA
Rfam family: Bacterial small subunit ribosomal RNA
Source: RNAcentral
GUGUCAGCAGCCGCGGUAAUACGUAGGGUGCGAGCGUUAAUCGGAAUUACUGGGCGUAAAGCGUGCGCAGGCGGUGCGCUAAGCCAGAGGUGAAAUCCCCGGGCUCAACCUGGGAACGGCCUUUGGGACUGGUGCGCUCGAGUGCGGCAGAGGGGGGUGGAAUUCCUGGUGUAGCAGUGAAAUGCGUAGAGAUCAGGAGGAACACCGAUGGCGAAGGCAGCCCCCUGGGCCAGCACUGACGCUCAGGCACGAAAGCGUGGGGAGCAAACAGGAUUAGAUACCCUGGUAGUCCACGCCCUAAACGAUGACGACUGGUUGUUGGGGGAGUCUAUCCCUUAGUAACGUAGCUAACGCGUGAAGUCGUCCGCCUGGGGAGUACGGUCGCAAGAUUAAA